GGCGGGGGGUGGGGUGGGAAGAGUGUAGCAGUGAGGACGACGAGAGGUCACUCUCGUCGCCAUUUUGUUUUUGGUGGUUUUUGUCUGGCUUCUUUACCGCAACCUGUUUUAUCAGCAAAGUCUUUAUAACCUGUAUUUUGUGCUGACCUCCUAUCUCAUCCUGUGACUUAGAAUGCCUUAACAACUGUCUGGAAUGCAGCCCGAUAUUUCAUGAUUCUGAAGAAGAAUUGGAGGUGAGACUUGAGAAAAUGGAGAAAAAGAUAUGCUUUGGAUUUUCUUGAAGACUAGAAGCUUUCUUAACCAUCCACCACCUUGUUGACUGGUUAUUAUUCUCUCUACCUUCUGUGAAACAAACUGAUGGAUACUAAUGGCACAAUUACACUUAUAGCUAGUCAGUUGCAUAGUUUAUGCACAUAGUUCUGCUUCCAGUGUUUAGUAAUGAGUUAAACAUUUUGGCUAUAUUUGUCUCUGAAGCUAUAAUUUCAAUUAAUCAUUAUGUAUAGCAAUAAUAACAAGUAAAACAAAAAGAAGAAUUUUUUGUUUCUAUGGUAAUUAUGUUGGGUGCUUUGGAUCCUCCCAAUAAAGUUGACUUCCUAAAAUAAUUACACUUGAAUUAGGUAUAGAGAAGCUAAUUGUAACAAAUUGAAAGUUACUGUAAAUCUUCUAAUCGUAGUUCUCUGCAAGUGUACUUAAGUUAUUGCUCCACUUGAAAUAAAUGAAAACUGGAAAUCUGAGGUGAUGAAUUAUGGGUCCCUUUUAUGUAAGAAAGAUGACAAGGAAAUCUAAUCUGCUGAGUUAUACUAAAAUAAAAUACCUUGGCCUGGGAUCAAAUAUAGGUGAAAGAAUUAACAUUUAUGUUUUUUAAUUAAGAUAAAAUGUACAAGUUUUAUGUACAUAUUUUAUGAUUUCCUGAUAUAACAAAAAGUGUUGAUAAAAGCACCCAAUACUGAUUCUAAUGACAUUUGAUUAGCAUUAAAGAGUUGCUAUUAUUA
RNAcentral lists this long non-coding RNA (992 nucleotides) under Homo sapiens (human). RNAcentral describes it as "long intergenic non-protein coding RNA 348". The record is from RNAcentral. Lineage: Eukaryota; Metazoa; Chordata; Mammalia; Primates; Hominidae.